This 65-nucleotide transfer RNA is filed under the name Nephotettix cincticeps (green rice leafhopper). RNAcentral describes it as "tRNA-Ile". Lineage: Eukaryota; Metazoa; Arthropoda; Insecta; Hemiptera; Cicadellidae. The record is from RNAcentral.
AAAAAUCAAAAAAUGAGAUGCCUGAAAAAAAGGAUUAUUUUGAUAGAAUAAAUUAUGUAUUUUUA